GGCGGGCAACAGCUUCAGGCCGGAGCACAGGGCGCUGCUGAACCCUUUCACCGCAACUUUCGAGCUAAGUGACGCUGGUGGCUUUGAGGUGUGGAAUGCCAUGACUCGAGGCCAGCACUGUGACACGUGGUCUUAUGUGCUGAUACCAGCAGCCCAGCCCGGGCAGUUCACUGUGGACCAUGGUGUGGGCAGGAGCUGGUUGCUGCCUCCCGGGACGCUGGACCAGUUCAUCUGCCUGGGCAGAGCUCAGGGCCUCUCGGAUGACAACAUUGUCUUCCCAGAUGUGACCGGUAACAUAGCUCACCUGCAGGCAUGCUGGGCAGUAGGCACGGGGCCCGCAGGAAUGAGUUUGGUUGACCCUAGAGGAGCUGGACCCAGUGUCUGCCCAGGGAGCUCAGCCCCAGCCUGCACUCAGGUGUCUCCAGGCUCCUGGGUCCCUGCGCUCAACC
This 449-nucleotide small RNA is filed under the name Pongo abelii (Sumatran orangutan). RNAcentral describes it as "processed transcript". The record is from RNAcentral. Lineage: Eukaryota; Metazoa; Chordata; Mammalia; Primates; Hominidae.